Moschus moschiferus (Siberian musk deer) is the source of this 70-nucleotide small nucleolar RNA. NCBI's taxonomy places the organism in Eukaryota, Metazoa, Chordata, Mammalia, Artiodactyla, Moschidae. The record is from Ensembl.
GAGCAAUGAUGAAAAGGUUUUACUCCAGACCUUUAUAACUAUGGAGGUUUCUACACUUGAUCUGAGCUCA